UGCAAGCCUGUGAGGUAUUAGCUAAGUUA
Molecule: non-coding RNA, 29 nt
Filed under: Rattus norvegicus (Norway rat)
Lineage: Eukaryota; Metazoa; Chordata; Mammalia; Rodentia; Muridae
Source: RNAcentral